Molecule: ribosomal RNA, 390 nt
Filed under: uncultured eukaryote
Lineage: Eukaryota
Description: SSU rRNA
Rfam family: Eukaryotic small subunit ribosomal RNA
Source: RNAcentral
AGCUCCAAUAGCGUAUAUUAAAAUUGUUGCAGUUAAAAAGCUCGUAGUUGAACUUCUGGUUUGGCGCGCGCGGCCCGUUGCGGCAACGCAGUGUGUGCCGUUGUGCGCCUGCCAUCCUUCUGGCGUUUGGGUGUGCCCUUCACUGGGACUGCAUCUGGGUGUCAAGAUCUUUUACUUUGAAAAAAUUAGAGUGUUUAAAGCAGGCUUGCGCAAUGAAUACAUUAGCAUGGAAUAAUAAUUUAGGACUUCUGUUCUAUUUUGUUGGUUUCUAGGAUGGAAGUAAUGAUUGAUAGGGAUAGUUGGGGGUGCUAGUAUUCAGCGGCCAGAGGUGAAAUUCUUGGAUUCGCUGAAGACUAACUUAUGCGAAAGCAUUCACCAAGGAUGUCUUCU